This 73-nucleotide transfer RNA is filed under the name Anguilla anguilla (European eel). It matches the Rfam family "tRNA". Rfam says of the family: Transfer RNA (tRNA) molecules are approximately 80 nucleotides in length. Their secondary structure includes four short double-helical elements and three loops (D, anti-codon, and T loops). Lineage: Eukaryota; Metazoa; Chordata; Actinopteri; Anguilliformes; Anguillidae. The record is from Rfam by way of RNAcentral.
GUUUCCGUAGUGUAGCGGUUAUCACGUUCGCCUCACACGCGAAAGGUCCCCAGUUCGAAACUGGGCGGAAACA